This 405-nucleotide ribosomal RNA is filed under the name uncultured bacterium. RNAcentral's name for it is "partial 16S ribosomal RNA". It matches the Rfam family "Bacterial small subunit ribosomal RNA", at positions 29 to 526 of the family's 1533-position model. The record is from RNAcentral.
AUUGAACGCUGGCGGCAGACCUAACACAUGCAAGUCGAGCGAGCGGCGGACGGGUGAGUAAUGUCUGGGAAACUGCCUGGUAGUGGGGGAUAACGUCCGGAAACGGGCGCUAAUACCGCAUACCAUCAGAUGUGCCCAGAUGGGAUUAGCUAGUUGGUGGGGUAACGGCUCACCUAGGCGACGAUCCCUAGCUGGUCUGAGAGGAUGACCAGCAAAACUGGAACUGAGACACGGUCCCAACUCCGAGGGGAGGCAGCAGUGGGGAAUAUUGCACAAUGGGGGCAAGCCUGAUGCAGCCAUGCCGGGUGUGUGAAGAAGGCCUUCGGGUUGUAAAGAACUUUCAGCGGGGAGGCGUUACCCGCAGAAGAAGAACCGGCUAACUCCGUGCCAGCAGCCGCGUAAUAC